This is a long non-coding RNA of Mytilus trossulus (common blue mussel), 700 nucleotides long. RefSeq lists it as uncharacterized. NCBI's taxonomy places the organism in Eukaryota, Metazoa, Mollusca, Bivalvia, Mytilida, Mytilidae. The record is from RefSeq and is a predicted model, not a curated record. The transcript has 3 exons.
CAGUAUAACACACUUGAGAUGACAAUUAUUUACAUUUUUCCAGACCAUUGAAUUUGUAAGGACUUAACUUCCGGUAAAUUUUCGGUUUUUAGGAUGUAAAUGUAACUGUGGCAUCUGAUUGGUCAAGAUUUUUCUGGUUUCCUGUUUUCUGUUUACAAGUUACCAGAUCAAAUACCAAAGCGAAAGUUGACAUAAACACAGCAAGUUUUCCAAGAGCAUUUGGAAAAAAGUGACCAAAUACAUGUUACAACUGAACCUGUAAGCACUGACCAGACUUCUACCUCAGGAGUUCAAUGUUCUAAAGCUAGUUUACAAACAACACCAUGCACCACCAAAGUAAGAAGGAAGCGAAAAUCUACCUUUAUGAGCAAGAAGAAGAUAUCUAAGAAAGUGGUAAUACAGGAGGACGCAUUGACUAAAUGUUCAAUAUGUAAUAUUAUUUAUGAGGAUGGAGAUGAGCAUAAUGAGUGGAUAGCAUGUGAUUUGUGCGAUUUAUGGUACAACAGACAGUGUUCACAAAUAAGUGAUGAAUUGUGGGAAAAGAUUGGUGACAGUGACUGGUAUUGUCCAAAAUGUUUCCAAUAGAAAAAAUUGAAGGUCUGAAAUCUUUGAAGAAUGAAACCAGUAAGCUUGUAUGUUGUAAGAACUGAAGAACGCCUUUCAUUUCCUCCUGACAUGCUGCAUUUAGACUACUAGUAUA